RNAcentral lists this long non-coding RNA (765 nucleotides) under Meleagris gallopavo (turkey). Its description in RNAcentral is "lncRNA (ENSMGAG00000022404.1)". The record is from RNAcentral. Lineage: Eukaryota; Metazoa; Chordata; Aves; Galliformes; Phasianidae.
AUGCGUGUCGCAGCUCAGGAGUCCAAGACCACACAGUGUCCUGAACUGAAGCAAUCCAGCGGGUGGGCAUUUUGUUUCAUCCAUCCAAAAGGGUCAGAGCUGGUCUGCAAACGGCCUAUUUUGUCUCUCCAUUCAUGGAAGAUGAUCAUCUUUUUAUCUUCAUCUGUGCCUUUUCUGAAAGGUUCUCAAGAGUAAAACGAUGUGUGGCCUCCUCUAUAUAAAGCACUUAGCCGUGUUGAUGCAAUAUUUUCAGCUAAGCUCUGUCCUUCCUUGCCAUCAUCUAACCUGACCUCUGCACCUAGAGAUUUCUAAAGAGUUUAGCCCAAAUCAGGGUGAGUAUUCCUCCUGUUCUCCACUCAAGAAAAAAAAGUGGUUACUCUUACCUUCUGGUUAAACCAGAGGGCUUAGGGAUGUGACAGAUCUCUGUCUCCAGGAUAAGCACGACUUUGUGAUUACUUCAUACAAUCACAGAAUGGCUUGGGUUGGAAGGGACCUCAAAAUUCCAGCACCCUGCCAUGGGCAGUGUGGCCAACCACAGGAUCAAUCAUAGAAUCAUACAAUCAUUAAGGUUGGAAAAGACCACUAAGAUCAUUUAGUGCAACCGCCCACCCACCACCAAUCUUGCUCAAUAAACCAUGUGAACAGUCCCAGUUCCCUCAGAUGCUCCCCAUUAAGACUUCUGCUCCAGGCCCUUCACAGCUUCAUUGCCCUCCUCUGGACACGCUCCAGGAUCUCGAUGUCUUUCUUGUAGUGAGGGGCACAAAA